Molecule: ribosomal RNA, 301 nt
Filed under: uncultured bacterium
Lineage: Bacteria
Description: partial 16S ribosomal RNA
Rfam family: Bacterial small subunit ribosomal RNA
Source: RNAcentral
CAGCCGCCGCGGUAAUACGUAGGUGGCAAGCGUUGUCCGGAAUUAUUGGGCGUAAAGGGCUCGCAGGCGGUUUCUUAAGUCUGAUGUGAAAGCCCCCGGCUCAACCGGGGAGGGUCAUUGGAAACUGGGAAACUUGAGUGCAGAAGAGGAGAGUGGAAUUCCACGUGUAGCGGUGAAAUGCGUAGAGAUGUGGAGGAGCACCAGUGGCGAAGGCGACUCUCUGGCCUGUAACUGACGCUGAGGAGCGAAAGCGUGGGGAGCGAACAGGAUUAGAUACCCCUGUAGUCCCUGUCUCUUAUAC